This 193-nucleotide ribosomal RNA is filed under the name uncultured Staphylococcus sp. RNAcentral describes it as "partial 16S ribosomal RNA". It matches the Rfam family "Bacterial small subunit ribosomal RNA", at positions 337 to 522 of the family's 1533-position model. Lineage: Bacteria; Bacillati; Bacillota; Bacilli; Caryophanales; Staphylococcaceae. The record is from RNAcentral.
UCCUACGGGAGGCAGCAGUAGGGAAUCUUCCGCAAUGGGCGAAAGCCUGACGGAGCAACGCCGCGUGAGUGAUGAAGGUCUUCGGAUCGUAAAACUCUGUUAUUAGGGAAGAACAAACGUGUAAGUAACUGUGCACGUCUUGACGGUACCUAAUCAGAAAGCCACGGCUAACUACGUGCCAGCAGCCGCGGUA